UAUUUCGUUUAGAUAUUUUUCACUGACUACUUGUUGGUUUAAGCAGCAACAAGAACAACAACAAUUACAAUAAUAAUAGUGCUUGGCAGCGACGCUGGCAGAGCGGAAAAAAGCGUCAACAGCAACUGGCAUAAAACUAAACCCGACUCAAUUCAUUAUGCAAACGCGCGUGCCCCGUUUCGGUUGUUGUAUCGUCUGACCAGUUGAGUUUAACUCCGGUGGUCUAGCAACAGCAGCAACAACAGUAUUCUGUUAUUUAAACAAUGCAAAGGAAUGUUAUUAACAGUUUCAUUUUACACAAGCCGCGCCUUAACAGUACUAGCCAGCAGUUAACUUAGCAUUAACAGCAACUUAAAGAUCGCCAGCUGUUAAAAUCGCCCGC
Long non-coding RNA from Drosophila navojoa, 382 nucleotides. The record is from RefSeq and is a predicted model, not a curated record. NCBI's taxonomy places the organism in Eukaryota, Metazoa, Arthropoda, Insecta, Diptera, Drosophilidae.